AGAGUUUGAUCCUGGCUCAGGAUGAACGCUAGCGGCAGGCUUAACACAUGCAAGUCGAGGGGCAUCGCGGAGUAGCAAUACUUUGGCGGCGACCGGCGGAAGGGUGCGUAACGCGUGAGCAACAUUCCCGUAUCAGGGGCAUAACCGGUGGAAACGCCGACUAAUUUCCCAUAACAACGACCAUCACCUGGUGGAUGUUUGAAAGCUGAGGCGGAUACGGAUUGGCUCGCGUGACAUUAGCUAGUUGGAGUGGUAACGGCACACCAAGGCUACGAUGUCUAGGGGUUCUGAGAGGAAGGUCCCCCACACUGGAACUGAGACACGGUCCAGACUCCUACGGGAGGCAGCAGUGAGGAAUAUUGGUCAAUGGACGCAAGCCUGAACCAGCCAUGCCGCGUGAAGGAAUAAGGUCCUAUGGAUCGUAAACUUCUUUUGUGCGGGAGCAAUAAGGGCCACGUGUGGUCCGAUGAGAGUACCGUACGAAUAAGCAUCGGCUAACUCCGUGCCAGCAGCCGCGGUAAUACGGAGGAUGCGAGCGUUAUCCGGAUUUAUUGGGUUUAAAGGGUGCGUAGGCUGUUUGUCAAGUCAGGGGUGAAAUGCCGGUGCUCAACACCGGAGCUGCCCUUGAUACUGUCAGGCUUGAAUUCGGAUGCCGUGGGAGGAAUGAGUAGUGUAGCGGUGAAAUGCAUAGAUAUUACUCAGAACACCGAUUGCGAAGGCAUCUCACGAAUCCGACAUUGACGCUGAGGCACGAAAGCGUGGGGAUCAAACAGGAUUAGAUACCCUGGUAGUCCACGCAGUAAACG
RNAcentral lists this ribosomal RNA (806 nucleotides) under uncultured bacterium. RNAcentral describes it as "bacterial SSU rRNA". It matches the Rfam family "Bacterial small subunit ribosomal RNA", at positions 8 to 808 of the family's 1533-position model. The record is from RNAcentral.